CAAUAGCGUAUAUUAAAGUUGUUGCAGUUAAAAAGCUCGUAGUUGGAUUUCGGGGCAGCCUGGCUGGUCCGCCGCAAGGCGAGUACUGGUCAGCCGCCCUUCCUCUCGAAAGCCCCGACUGCUCUUUAUUGCAGUGGUCGGGUAGUUCGGGACGUUUACUUUGAAAAAAUUAGAGUGUUCAAGGCAGGCCUACGCCUGAAUACAUUAGCAUGGAAUAAUGGAAGAGGACCUCGGUCCUAUUUUGUUGGUUUCCAGGACCGAAGUAAUGAUUAAGAGGGACAGUUGGGGGCAUUCGUAUUUAAUUGUCAGAGGUGAAAUUCUCGGAUUUAUGAAAGACGAACAACCGCGAAAGCAUUUGCCAAGGAUGUUUUCAUUAA
This 377-nucleotide ribosomal RNA is filed under the name uncultured eukaryote. Its description in RNAcentral is "partial 18S ribosomal RNA". It matches the Rfam family "Eukaryotic small subunit ribosomal RNA", at positions 592 to 976 of the family's 1831-position model. The record is from RNAcentral.